RNAcentral lists this ribosomal RNA (1428 nucleotides) under uncultured Bordetella sp. RNAcentral describes it as "partial 16S-23S ribosomal RNA intergenic spacer". It matches the Rfam family "Bacterial small subunit ribosomal RNA". Lineage: Bacteria; Pseudomonadati; Pseudomonadota; Betaproteobacteria; Burkholderiales; Alcaligenaceae. The record is from RNAcentral.
AGUCGAACGGCAGCACGGACUUCGGUCUGGUGGCGAGUGGCGAACGGGUGAGUAAUGUAUCGGAACGUGCUAAUGGCAGGGGGAUAACUACGCGAAAGCGUAGCUAAUACCGCAUACGCCCUUCGGGGGAAAAGCGGGGGACCUUCGGGCCUCGCACUAUUAGAGCGGCCGAUAUCGGAUUAGCUAGUUGGUGGGGUAACGGCUCGCAAGGCGACGAUCCGUAGCUGGUUUGAAGGACGACCAGCCACUGGGACUGAGACACGGCCCAGACUCCUACGGGAGAGCAGCAGUGGGGAAUUUUGGACAAUGGGGGAAACCCUGAUCCAGCCAUCCCGCGUGUGCGAUGAAGGCCUUCGGGUUGUAGCACUUUUGGCGGGAAAGAAACGGCACGGGAUAAUACCCCGUGCAACUGACGGUACCUGCAGAAUAAGCACCGGCUAACUACGUGCCAGCAGCCGCGGUAAUACGUAGGGUGCAAGCGUUAAUCGGAAUUACUGGGCGUAAAGCGUGCGCAGGCGGUUCGGAAAGAAAGAUGUGAAAUCCCAGAGCUUAACUUUGGAACUGCAUUUUUAACUACCGAGCUAGAGUGUGUCAGAGGGAGGUGGAAUUCCGCGAUGUAGCAGUGAAAUGCGUAGAUAUGCGGAGGAACACCGAUAGCGAAGGCAGCCUCCUGGAAUAACACUGACGCUCAUGCACGAAAGCGUGGGGAGCAAACAGGAUUAGAUACCCUGGUAGUCCACGCCUAAACGAUGUCAACUAGCUGUUGGGGCCUUCGGGCCUUGGUAGCGCAGCUAACAGCUGAAGUUGACCGCCUGGGGGAGUACGGUCGCGAGAUUAAAACUCAAAGGAAUUGACGGGGACCCGCACAAGCGGUGGAUGAUGUGGAUUAAUUCGAUGCAACGCGAAAAACCUUACCUACACUUGACAUGUCUGGAAUCCCGAAGAGAUUUGGGAGUGCUCGCAAGAACCGGAACACAGGUGCUGCAUGGCUGUCAAUCAGCUCGUGUCGUGAGAUGUUGGGUUAAGUCCCGCAACGAGCGCAACCCUUGUCAUUAGUUGCUACGAAAGGGCACUCUAAUGAGACUGCCGGUGACAAACCGGAGGAAGGUGGGGAUGACGUCAAGUCCUCAUGGCCCUUAUGGGUAGGGCUUCACACGUCAUACAAUGGUCGGGACAGAGGGUCGCCAACCCGCGAGGAGUGUCCCAGAAACCCGAUCGUAGUCGAGAUCACCAGUGCAGCUCGACUGCGUGAAGUCGGAAUCGCUAGUAAUCGCGGAUCAGCAUGUCGCGGUGAAUACGUUCCCGGGUCUUGUACACACCGCCCGUCACACCAUGGGAGUGGGUUUUACCAGAAGUAGUUAGCCUAACCGUAAGGAGGGCGAUUACCACGGUAGGAUUCAUGACUGGGGUGAAGUCGUAACAAGGUAA